CCUACGGGAGGCAGCAGUAGGGAAUAUUGGGCAAUGGAGGCAACUCUGACCCAGCCAUGCCGCGUGCAGGAUGAAGGCGUUAUGCGUUGUAAACUGCUUUUAUAUAGGAAGAAAUAGACCUUGCGAGGUAAGUUGACGGUACUAUAUGAAUAAGCACCGGCUAACUCCGUGCCAGCAGCCGCGGUAAUACGGAGGGUGCAAGCGUUGUCCGGAUUUAUUGGGUUUAAAGGGUGCGUAGGCGGUUUAUUAAGUCAGUGGUGAAAGACGGUCGCUCAACGAUUGCAGUGCCAUUGAUACUGGUAGACUUGAGUGUGAUUGAGGUAGCUGGAAUGGAUAGUGUAGCGGUGAAAUGCAUAGAUAUUAUCCAGAACACCAAUUGCGUAGGCAAGUUACUAAGUCACAACUGACGCUGAGGCACGAAAGUGUGGGUAUCAAACAGGAUUAGAUACCCUGGUAGUCCACACUGUAAACGAUGAUAACUAACUGUUGGCUUUUGGGUCAGUGGUACAGAGAAAUCGUUAAGUUAUCCACCUGGGGAGUACGCGGCAACGGUGAAACUCAAAGAUAGUACGCGNGAGAGAGACGACGACGACGACGAGGAGGGAGG
Molecule: ribosomal RNA, 607 nt
Filed under: uncultured bacterium
Lineage: Bacteria
Description: bacterial SSU rRNA
Rfam family: Bacterial small subunit ribosomal RNA
Source: RNAcentral